This is a long non-coding RNA of Stylophora pistillata, 382 nucleotides long. Lineage: Eukaryota; Metazoa; Cnidaria; Anthozoa; Scleractinia; Pocilloporidae. The record is from RefSeq and is a predicted model, not a curated record.
AUAAUUACUGUUAGGAUUGGAAAUCAUUGAAAUUAUCAUCACAACAGAGAAAUGGAUCUUACCAUGUAUGUAUGGAGUCACAUCCUAAAAGGAAAAAUUUGGAGAAAAAUAUAUGAUAGCAAAAAUAUUUUCCAGUGGCAGCAUUUAGUCCAUAGGCCAUGGCGAGAAAUUUCCAGUCUGAGCAGCAGUACCUUAGGAAAACAAAAUGAAAAAUGCUUCAUUGGGUGAACCAUUUCCUGUUUCAAGUUGAAUGGAUCCUAAUUCACAGUGGACCUAUCAUGUACUGAGACAUAUAAACACUGAUUGGCAGAAGGAUAUUUCUUUCCUCAUCUGGUAAAACCAUCCUCAACUCAUGGUAUGCCUCGUCUGAAAUCAAGCCUUC